RNAcentral lists this ribosomal RNA (497 nucleotides) under uncultured bacterium. RNAcentral's name for it is "partial 16S ribosomal RNA". It matches the Rfam family "Bacterial small subunit ribosomal RNA", at positions 28 to 507 of the family's 1533-position model. The record is from RNAcentral.
GAUGAACGCUGGCGGCGUGCCUAAUACAUGCAAGUCGAGCGAACAGACGAGGAGCUUGCUCCUCUGACGUUAGCGGCGGACGGGUGAGUAACACGUGGAUAACCUACCUAUAAGACUGGGAUAACUGCGGGAAACCGGAGCUAAUACCGGAUAAUAUAUUGAACCGCAUGGUUCAAUAGUGAAAGACGGUUUUGCUGUCACUUAUAGAUGGAUCCGCGCCGCAUUAGCUAGUUGGUAAGGUAACGGCUUACCAAGGCAACGAUGCGUAGCCGACCUGAGAGGGUGAUCGGCCACACUGGAACUGAGACACGGUCCAGACUCCUACGGGAGGCAGCAGUAGGGAAUCUUCCGCAAUGGGCGAAAGCUUGACGGAGCAACGCCACGUGAGUGAUGAAGGUCUUCGGAUCGUAAAACUCUGUUAUUAGGGAAGAACAAAUGUGUAAGUAACUAUGCACGUCUUGACGGUACCUAAUCAGAAAGCCACGGCUAACUACGUG